GUUUGUGUGCCUUGUCUCGACGGUGGCGCUGGUGAACGCCGGCGAUCCUUACUUCUACUACACGUGGAACGUGACGUACGGAACCGCCUCGCCUCUCGGAAUCCCUCAACAAGUGAUUCUCAUCAACGGACAGUUCCCAGGUCCUAACCUAAACUCUACAUCUAACAACAAUGUCGUCAUCAAUGUCUUUAACAACCUUGACGAGCCUUUCCUCUUGACCUGGUUAGUAACCAUUUCCUCUCGUUUCUUGUUUACUAAUUACGCGUUUUUGCAUGAGCAUAUUGUUUUGAAGAUCAAAUAAUAUUUUGAACGAUACAAAACAUUUUUUUUCAUUUUAAUACACUUUCUUACAAAGGUCAAACGCCAAAUGCAAAAAUAACUUCUCAAAUCGUUUGAUGUUUUCAUUUUACAAUUUACAAAUCAAUAUUUUUUCCACAUAUUUAAGAUUGGACAUUCGUUUGAAAAUAGAAAAUAUGUCUUGGUUAAGUUAUGUUAUUUUGUUUCUUGGUUUUUAGUUUGAAAAAUUCAUAACUAAAUUUAAAUCAAAAUCUUUUUGGAUCAUUCAAUUAAUUGGUUUAAGAAAAGUUUGUUUUAUCUCCGUUCAGAUAGUAGUUUUUUUAACAGCAAAAGUGUUACAUUAAUUUCACAUAAUGAUAUCUAUAUAUUUAUAUGUAUACAAAUAAAAUAUAAUAUUUUAGUUUGGUUCAGUUUUGAUUUUAGAUUUAUUUUGCAAUAGGUUUGGUUAUAUGGCUACAACUAUACAUGUCUAGUUUUCAUUGUAACUUUUGAUACUGAGUCCUGACUAUUGGUUCGGUGACAUGGCAGGAGUGGUCUCCAGCACAGGAAGAACUCAUGGCAAGAUGGUGUGACUGGGACCUCAUGCCCAAUCCCAGCAGGCACCAACUACACUUACCACUUCCAGCCAAAGGACCAGAUCGGUAGUUACUUCUACUACCCAUCCACCGCUCUCCACCGUUUCUCCGGUGGUUUCGGUGGCCUCCGCGUCAACAGCCGUCUCCUCAUCCCCGUCCCUUACGCUGACCCCGAAGACGACUACACCGUCCUCAUCAACGACUGGUACACCAAGAGCCACACCGCUCUCAAGAACUUCCUCGACAGUGGCCGUACUCUUGGCUCCCCUGACGGCGUUCUCAUCAACGGUAAGUCCGGCAAAGUCGGAGGACAGGACAAGCCACUCUUCACCAUGAAGCCAGGAAAGACAUACAAGUACAGAAUCUGUAACGUUGGAUUCAAAUCCACUCUUAACUUCAGGAUCCAAGGACACAAGAUGAAGCUUGUUGAGAUGGAAGGCUCCCACGUUCUCCAAAACGACUACGAC
Molecule: long non-coding RNA, 1339 nt
Filed under: Brassica rapa (field mustard)
Lineage: Eukaryota; Viridiplantae; Streptophyta; Magnoliopsida; Brassicales; Brassicaceae
Description: long non-coding RNA (BRAP_LNC002040)
Source: RNAcentral